GUAUUUCGAAUUAUGUAUUCAAAAAUCUUCAGACAAAAAAUUUUAAUAAAGGGUUGGUAUUAUGCUGCCAAGAACGCGUAAAAAACGCGAACGCGACAGCAAACAUUGCACACAAGGUGAAUACUGAUUUUUAAAAAGUGCAGUAAAACACUUAUUAUGAAUGAUCCUUCCGCAGGUUCACCUACGGAAA
Molecule: unclassified non-coding RNA, 190 nt
Filed under: uncultured fungus
Lineage: Eukaryota; Fungi
Description: sequence contains ITS1
Source: RNAcentral